UCUUAGCCGAACUCAGCAAAUUAAUGGCGGACGAUUUGCAGGAAAAUUCUGCUAUCAUUUAACAGCGCCAUCUAUUGGUUAGCACCGCCGAAAUUUUAACAUAACCUCAAAAUUUGUUUACAUUUCCACUAAAACGUCCGGAAUCGAGAAUAUUUAAUUAAUUUAUUUAGUUUUAAAUUAUUUUAUCGUCCCCAAGUGAUAAAGACCGGUAAUUUGGGUAAGAGAAAGUGAUUUUAGAAAAAAAAAUUGUGUAGUUUUUAAAAGAAAGUGCAGAAAAAUACUUCAGAAAAAUCAUACAAGGCAGUUGAUCACCACCAGAAAGCCCGGAAAUUUCACAUAGACAGGACUCGAAUGGCAGGAAAAUAUAGAGAUAUUCUGCCAAAUAAAUGUGAGAUCAACGCAAUGAAGAAUUAUCCACAAUACACGGCAUGCUUGUCCGGGAAUACAGUAAUCACUGUACGGAACGACGAAUCCAAAAGAAAAUAAAGUGUACCUACAUAUCAGUACGAUUUCAUGGGACGGCAACAAUAAGAAGAGGGCCCAUUCACGCUGCUCCAGCCGCUCCAGCCCAUAGAUUUCAGGGUUUUCUCAUGGGAAUCAAGAACGAUCUCCCCGUCAAGUGUUUUGUAAGAUGAACUUGGAGAAAGAAUUAGUGAUACACCUUGAUGAGACUGUAAAAAUUACCAAAAUUAUUCGUGCUUGUGAUCAUCAGUGAUUCAUUUACUUGGACGGAUUAAGAAGAAAGCCAUUGAGAAAGUUCCAAGGAUGAACAUUUUUCCACGAGUUUCUUCCUUUCCCGCAAACGUAUUUUAACAGGGCAGUUGCAUAAACAACCCCACUGCUGGUACAUUUUCCGACGAAGAUCUUGGAGUGGAAAAAUUCCUGUUUUCUACAGCAAAUUCUCUAAGAAAGUCAAAACAUCGAGAUUCAGCAUUAGGAGGUUGAAGAGGAAAUUCUCAAUACGGGAAAUGCAGAUUACUGGUUGGAAAAACCAGAGAAGGAUUUAUUCCCGGAAUGUGAAAAAUUCGAAGAGAUGUUAGAAAAGGAGGAUUUCUACUCAUAAUAAUACAACAAGGGAAUCCUUCAUUUGAUGAGAUUCUUCAUGCUCUUCACGAUGUUCCGGCCUAUCAUUUAUGUGACACAGAACAUCUAGCUACAAAACAUACAGCUCACUCAUUGGAAGAGAGUUAGGUAUGCAAUUCUUAUUUUCUGGCUUCUUGCUAGAACUUGUUCUUUUUAUAUUUACUCUCGAUAGACUUAAGGCGGGUUAGGACCUUAAUUCAUAGGGUUUCAUAGGAUAUUUCAAUACCAAAAUAUCAAAAUCUCUAUUUGGCUCUUAAUUGUCUCACAAUUUUAUACUAAAGAAUAAACCGUUCGUGUAGGUAGUUCUUUUCAACAUUCUAAAUUACUUUAAAUUAAAAAAAAAUACUAAAACUAGCAUGAGAUGAUGUAUAAGGUAAUAUUUAAGUCUACGUUAAACCCGCAAAACACCAGUAAAUAUUUAUUUUAUUUUCAAAAUAGUUUUUCGUUCAAAUAUUUUUUCACUUUUAGACUAUAAAAAGUAAAAGAAGAAAGUUUUUUUGCGGAUUUUUUUGAAGCGCAAAAGAUAAUUUUUGCUAGUAAUUUUAAUUUAAAGAAAGAAAGAUCUUUUAUAAUGAUAUUUAUUUCAAUCAAAAGUUUUUAAGAAAUAAUCAAAAAGAAUAAAGAGUUCUUCAUUUUAAAGUUGUAAAGACAAUAAAUCAAAAUUA
Molecule: long non-coding RNA, 1748 nt
Organism: Lutzomyia longipalpis
Lineage: Eukaryota; Metazoa; Arthropoda; Insecta; Diptera; Psychodidae
Exons: 3
Source: RefSeq, a predicted model, not a curated record